GAUGAACGCUGGCGGCGUGCCUAAUACAUGCAAGUCGAGCGAACAGACGAGGAGCUUGCUCCUUCGACGUUAGCGGCGGACGGGUGAGUAACACGUAGGUAACCUACCUAUAAGACUGGGAUAACUUCGGGAAACCGGAGCUAAUACCGUAUAAUAUUUCGAACCGCAUUGUUCGAUAGUGAAAGAUGGCUUUGCUAUCACUUAUAGAUGGACCUGCGCCGUAUUAGCUAGUUGGUAAGGUAACGGUUUACCAUGGCAACGAUACGUAGCCGACCUGAGAGGGUGAUCGCCCACACGGGAACUGAGACACGGUCCAGACUCCUACGGGAGGCAGCAGUAGGGAAUCUUCCGCAAUGGGCGAAAGCCUGACGGAGCAACGCCGCGUGAGUGAUGAAGGUCUUCGGAUCGUAAAACUCUGUUAUUAGGGAAGAACAAACGUGUAAGUAACUGUGCACGUCUUGACGGUACCUAAUCAGAAAGCCACGGCUAACUACGUG
RNAcentral lists this ribosomal RNA (497 nucleotides) under uncultured bacterium. Its description in RNAcentral is "partial 16S ribosomal RNA". It matches the Rfam family "Bacterial small subunit ribosomal RNA", at positions 28 to 507 of the family's 1533-position model. The record is from RNAcentral.